CGUUAGCGAUAGAAGCGGCAUCCUUUUGCCCGGCAAAAGAUAUAGCGGAAAGGUACUGUC
RNAcentral lists this unclassified non-coding RNA (60 nucleotides) under Chryseobacterium arachidis. Its description in RNAcentral is "Flavo-1 RNA". Lineage: Bacteria; Pseudomonadati; Bacteroidota; Flavobacteriia; Flavobacteriales; Weeksellaceae. The record is from RNAcentral.